AACGCUAGCUACAGGCUUAACACAUGCAAGUCGAGGGGCAGCAUGAUCUUAGCUUGCUAAGAUUGAUGGCGACCGGCGCACGGGUGCGUAACGCGUAUCCAACUUGCCCUGUACUCGGGGAUAGCCUUCCGAAAGGGAGAUUAAUACCCGAUACGUAUAUUUAUCGCAUGAUUUAUAUAUGAAAGAUUUAUCGGUACAGGAUAGGGAUGCGUUCCAUUAGGCAGUUGGCGGGGUAACGGCCCACCAAACCUACGAUGGAUAGGGGUUCUGAGAGGAAGGUCCCCCACAUUGGAACUGAGACACGGUCCAAACUCCUACGGGAGGCAGCAGUGAGGAAUAUUGGUCAAUGGGCGAGAGCCUGAACCAGCCAAGUAGCGUGAGGGAUGACUGCCCUAUGGGUUGUAAACCUCUUUUAUAAAGGAAUAAAGUUGGGUACGUGUUACCCAUUUGUAUGUACUUUAUGAAUAAGCAUCGGCUAACUCCGUGCCAGCAGCCGCGGUAAUACGGAGGAUGCGAGCGUUAUCCGGAUUUAUUGGGUUUAAAGGGUGCGUAGGCGGAUGAUUAAGUCAGCGUGUGAAAGUUUGCGGCUCAACCGUAAAAUUGCAGUUGAUACUGGUUGUCUUGAGUGUACAUAAGGUAGGCGGAAUUCGUGGUGUAGCGGUGAAAUGCUUAGAUAUCACGAAGAACUCCGAUUG
Molecule: ribosomal RNA, 695 nt
Filed under: uncultured bacterium
Lineage: Bacteria
Description: bacterial SSU rRNA
Rfam family: Bacterial small subunit ribosomal RNA
Source: RNAcentral